This 565-nucleotide ribosomal RNA is filed under the name uncultured archaeon. Its description in RNAcentral is "bacterial SSU rRNA". It matches the Rfam family "Archaeal small subunit ribosomal RNA", at positions 317 to 889 of the family's 1478-position model. The record is from RNAcentral.
GUGAUUCGGGGUGCACCAGGCGCGAAAACUUUGCAAUACACGAAAGUGUGACAGGGCUAUCCCGAGUGCCAUCCGCUGAGGAAGGCUUUUACCCAGUCUAGAACGCUGGGGGAAUAAGGAGAGGGCAAGUCUGGUGUCAGCCGCCGCGGUAAUACCAGCUCUCCGAGUGGUGUGGAUGUUUAUUGGGCCUAAAGCAUCCGUAGCUGGCUAAGUUAGUCCCUUGUUAAAUCCACCGAAUUAAUCGUUGGAUUGCGGGGGAUACUGCUUGGCUAGGGGACGAGAGAGGCAGACGGUAUUUCCGGGGUAGGGGUGAAAUCCUAUAAUCCCGGGAAGACCACCAGUGGCGAAGGCUGUCUGCUAGAACGCGCCCGACGGUGAGGGAUGAAAGCUGGGGGAGCGAACCGGAUUAGAUACCCGGGUAGUCCCAGCUGUAAACGAUGCAGGCUAGGUGUUUGGACGGCCACGUGCCGUUCUAGUGCCGCAGGGAAGCUGUUAAGCCUGCCGCCUGGGGAGUACGAUCGCAAGAUUGAAACUUAAAGGAAUUGGCGGGGGAGCACAAUCGAAU